UGGGGAAUAUUGCGCAAUGGGGGCAACCCUGACGCAGCAACGCCGCGUGAUUGAAGAAGGUCUUCGGAUUGUAAAAAUCUUUUAUCAGGGACGAAGAAGUGACGGUACCUGAUGAAUAAGCUCCGGCUAACUACGUGCCAGCAGCCGCGGUAAUACGUAGGGAGCAAGCGUUAUCCGGAUUUACUGGGUGUAAAGGGCGAGUAGGCGGGUCGGCAAGUUGGGAGUGAAAUGUCGGGGCUUAACCCCGGAACUGCUUCCAAAACUGUUGAUCUUGAGUGAUGGAGAGGCAGGCGGAAUUCCCAGUGUAGCGGUGAAAUGCGUAGAUAUCACGAAGAACUCCGAUUGCGAAGGCAGCUUACCGUAGCGUUACUGACGCUGAAGCUCGAAAGUGCGGGUAUCGAACAGGAUUAGAUACCCUGGUAGU
RNAcentral lists this ribosomal RNA (424 nucleotides) under uncultured Butyricicoccus sp. RNAcentral describes it as "bacterial SSU rRNA". It matches the Rfam family "Bacterial small subunit ribosomal RNA", at positions 355 to 794 of the family's 1533-position model. Lineage: Bacteria; Bacillati; Bacillota; Clostridia; Eubacteriales; Butyricicoccaceae. The record is from RNAcentral.